GACGAACGCUGGCGGCGUGCUUAAUACAUGCAAGUAGAACGCUGAAGGAGGAGCUUGCUUCUCUGGAUGAGUUGCGAACGGGUGAGUAACGCGUAGGUAACCUGCCUGGUAGCGGGGGAUAACUAUUGGAAACGAUAGCUAAUACCGCAUAAUAGUAGAUGUUGCAUGACAUUUGCUUAAAAGGUGCAGUUGCUUCACUACCAGAUGGACCUGCGUUGUAUUAGCUAGUUGGUGAGGUAACGCCUCACCAAGGCAACGAUACAUAGCCGAACUGAGAGGGUGAGCGGCCGCACUGGGAGUGUGACACGGCCCAGACUGCUACGGGAAGGAGCAGUAGGGCAUCUGGAGCAAUGGGCGGAAAACUGACCGAGCAACGCCGCGUGAUGGAAGAAGGUUUUCGGGUGGGAAAGGUCUGUUGUAAGAGAAGAACGAGUGUGAGAGUGGAAAGUUCACACUGUGACGGUAUCUUACCAGAAAGCGACGGCUAACUACGUG
RNAcentral lists this ribosomal RNA (495 nucleotides) under uncultured bacterium. RNAcentral describes it as "partial 16S ribosomal RNA". It matches the Rfam family "Bacterial small subunit ribosomal RNA", at positions 28 to 507 of the family's 1533-position model. The record is from RNAcentral.